This 468-nucleotide ribosomal RNA is filed under the name uncultured bacterium. RNAcentral describes it as "partial 16S ribosomal RNA". It matches the Rfam family "Bacterial small subunit ribosomal RNA", at positions 28 to 507 of the family's 1533-position model. The record is from RNAcentral.
GACGAACGCUGGCGGCGUGCUUAACACAUGCAAGUCGAACGGAAAGGCCCUGCUUUUGUGGGGUGCUCGCGUGGCGAACGGGUGAGUAACACGUGAGUAACCUGCCCUUUACUUUGUGAUAACUUCAGGCAACUGGGGCUAAUACCUGAUAGGAGCUCCUGCUGCAUGGUGGGGGUUGGACAGUUUCGGCGGUUGGGGAUGGACUCGCGGUUUAUCAGCUUGUUGGUGGGGUAGUGGCUUACCAAGGCUUUGACGGGUAGCCGGCCUGAGAGGGUGACCGGCGACAUUGGGACUGAGAUACGGCCCAGACUCCUACGGGAGGCAGCAGUGGGGAAUAUUGCACAAUGGGCGGAAGCCUGAUGCAGCAACGCCGCGUGCGGGAUGACGGCCUUCGGGGUGUAAACCGCUUUCGCCUGUGACGAAGCGUGAGUGACGGUAAUGGGUAAAGAAGCACCGGCUAACUACGUG